GGUCAGCGCCUCUUUGUUUCCUAGCUACCUACCCGCCUACGUCACAACUGCGGUGUUCAGGAGGUGGGCCUAGGUUACUGGGGUGGGGGUGCUCUCGGGAGGUAGCUCUCAAGAGAAGGGUGGCUGGGAAGAACGGAGUGGGGCUCAGCUUCUGUCUCUGCUUCCCGGCCCUCCACGUGGUCCCUCCUUUGCCCGCAGCCACAGUUCUUAUCCACUGACCAAUAAGGGCUGCUCGAUCUUGAACUUGAACCUUGAAAACGGCAGAGUGGACAGUGAGAGAGAGAGACAGAGAGAAAGGUCUUCCUUUGCCGUUGGUUCACCCUCCAAUGGCCACCGCGCUGAUCCGAUGGCAGGAGCCAGAAAAUGACACCUUGGGAGCCGAAUGUGACCCCGACGUGACUUGAACACGCAACCUUCUGAUCUGGAGUCAGACGCGCUACCAUUGCGCCACGAGGUCAUCCAUGGGGACAAUGCUGACUUCUGAUGCUUUAAAUCUCUUUCAUUCUGCACCCUGGCCGCUUCCUUCUGGUUUGUUUUUUUUUUUUUUUUUUUUUUUUUUUUU
This is a non-coding RNA of Oryctolagus cuniculus (rabbit), 562 nucleotides long. The record is from RefSeq and is a predicted model, not a curated record. NCBI's taxonomy places the organism in Eukaryota, Metazoa, Chordata, Mammalia, Lagomorpha, Leporidae.